UACGUAGGGUGCGAGCGUUGUCCGGAAUUACUGGGCGUAAAGAGCUCGUAGGUGGUUUGUCGCGUUGUUCGUGAAAACUCACAGCUUAACUGUGGGCGUGCGGGCGAUACGGGCAGACUAGAGUACUGCAGGGGAGACUGGAAUUCCUGGUGUAGCGGUGGAAUGCGCAGAUAUCAGGAGGAACACCGGUGGCGAAGGCGGGUCUCUGGGCAGUAACUGACGCUGAGGAGCGAAAGCGUGGGGAGCGAACAGGAUUAGAUACCCUGGUAGUCCACGCCGUAAACGAUGAGUGCUAGGUGUUGGGGGUCAAACCUCGGUGCCGCAGCUAACGCAUUAAGCACUCCGCCUGGGGAGUACGUACGCAAGUAUGAAACUC
RNAcentral lists this ribosomal RNA (376 nucleotides) under uncultured Mycobacterium sp. RNAcentral's name for it is "bacterial SSU rRNA". It matches the Rfam family "Bacterial small subunit ribosomal RNA", at positions 524 to 902 of the family's 1533-position model. The record is from RNAcentral. Lineage: Bacteria; Bacillati; Actinomycetota; Actinomycetes; Mycobacteriales; Mycobacteriaceae.